UACGGAGGGUGCAAGCGGUGUUCGGAAUCAUUGGGCGUAAAGCGCGUGUAGGCGGCUUGGCAAGUCGGGUGUGAAAUCCCGGGGCCCAACCCCGGAACUGCAUUCGAAACUGCCUCGCUAGAGUCCCGGAGAGGAAGGCGGAAUUCCCGGUGUAGAGGUGAAAUUCGUAGAUAUCGGGAGGAACACCAGCGGCGAAGGCGGCCUUCUGGACGGUGACUGACGCUCAGACGCGAAAGCGUGGGGAGCAAACAGG
RNAcentral lists this ribosomal RNA (253 nucleotides) under uncultured bacterium. Its description in RNAcentral is "partial 16S ribosomal RNA". It matches the Rfam family "Bacterial small subunit ribosomal RNA", at positions 524 to 776 of the family's 1533-position model. The record is from RNAcentral.